AGAGUUUGAUCCUGGCUCAGGAUGAACGCUAGCGGCAGGCCUAACACAUGCAAGUCGAGGGGUAACGUGAGUGCUUGCACUUGACGACGACCGGCGCACGGGUGCGGAACGCGUAUGGAACCUACCUUUAUCAGGGGGAUAGCCCAUGGAAACGUGGAUUAAUAUCCCAUAGUAUUAUUUUAUCGCCAUGAUGAUAUAAUUAAAGAAUUUCGGAUAGAGAUGGCCAUGCGUAUCAUUAGCUAGUAGGCGAGGUAACGGCUCACCUAGGCGACGAUGAUUAGGGGUCCUGAGAGGGAGAUCCCCCACACUGGUACUGAGACACGGACCAGACUCCUACGGGAGGCAGCAGUGAGGAAUAUUGGACAAUGGGCGAGAGCCUGAUCCAGCCAUGCCGCGUGCAGGAAGACGGCCCUAUGGGUUGUGAACUGCUUUUAUACAGGAAGAAACCAGCCUACGUGUAGGGUGCUUACGGUACUGUAAGAAUAAGCACCGGCUAACUCCGUGCCAGCAGCCGCGGUAAUACGGAGGGUGCAAGCGUUAUCCGGAAUCAUUGGGUUUAAAGGGUCCGUAGGCGGAUUAUUAAGUCAGAGGUGAAAUCCCACAGCUCAACUGUGGAACUGCCUUUGAUACUGGUAGUCUUGAAUUAGUGUGAAGUGGUUAGAAUGUGUAGUGUAGCGGUGAAAUGCAUAGAUAUUACACAGAAUACCAAUUGCGAAGGCAGAUCACUAACACUAUAUUGACGCUCAGGGACGAAAGCGUGGGGAGCGAACAGGAUUAGAUACCCUGGUAGUCCACGCCGUAAACGAUGGACACUAGUUGUUGUGCGGACUGAGUGGCUAAGCGAAAGUGAUAAGUAUCCCACCUGGGGAGUACGUUCGCAAGAAUGAAACUCAAAGGAAUUGACGGGGGCCCGCAUAAGCGGUGGAGCGUGUGUUUUAAUUCGAUGAUACGCGAGGAACCUUACCAGGGCUUAAAUGCAUAUUGACAGGGGUAGAGAGGGCUUUUCCUUCGGGCAAUUUGCAAGGUGCUGCAUGGUUGUCGUCAGCUCGUGCCGUGAGGUGUCAGGUUAAUUCCUAUAACGAGCGCAACCCCUACCGUUAGUUGCCAGCGAGUCAUGUCGGGGACUCUAACGGGACUGCCGGUGCAAACCGUGAGGAAGGUGGGGAUGACGUCAAAUCAUCACGGCCCUUACGUCCUGGGCCACACACGUGCUACAAUGGCCGGUACAGAGAGCAGCCAUCUGGCAACAGAGAGCGAAUCUACAAAACCGGUCACAGUUCGGAUCGGGGUCUGCAACUCGACCCCGUGAAGCUGGAAUCGCUAGUAAUCGGAUAUCAGCCAUGAUCCGGUGAAUACGUUCCCGGGCCUUGUACACACCGCCCGUCAAGCCAUGGAAGCCGGGAGUGCCUGAAGUCCGUCACCGCAAGGAGCGGCCUAGGGCAAGAUCGGUAACUAGGGCUAAGUCGUAACAAGGUAGCCGUACCGGAAGGUGCGGCUG
This 1498-nucleotide ribosomal RNA is filed under the name uncultured prokaryote. RNAcentral describes it as "partial 16S ribosomal RNA". It matches the Rfam family "Bacterial small subunit ribosomal RNA". The record is from RNAcentral.